RNAcentral lists this ribosomal RNA (265 nucleotides) under uncultured Staphylococcus sp. RNAcentral describes it as "partial 16S ribosomal RNA". It matches the Rfam family "Bacterial small subunit ribosomal RNA", at positions 96 to 355 of the family's 1533-position model. The record is from RNAcentral. Lineage: Bacteria; Bacillati; Bacillota; Bacilli; Caryophanales; Staphylococcaceae.
CGGCGGACGGGUGAGUAACACGUGGGUAACCUACCUAUAAGACUGGGACAACUUCGGGAAACCGGAGCUAAUACCGGAUAAGAUAUCGAACCGCAUGGUUCGAUAGUGAAAGANGGUUUUGCUAUCACUUAUAGAUGGACCCGCGCCGUAUUAGCUAGUUGGUGAGGUAACGGCUCACCAAGGCAACGAUACGUAGCCGACCUGAGAGGGUGAUCGGCCACACUGGAACUGAGACACGGUCCAGACUCCUACGGGAGGCAGCAGU